GGCCUCUUUACAGUGCUAUCUUGUAGCCUCAAUCAAGCAGCAUUGUACAGGGCUAUGA
Molecule: microRNA precursor, 58 nt
Filed under: Petromyzon marinus (sea lamprey)
Lineage: Eukaryota; Metazoa; Chordata; Hyperoartia; Petromyzontiformes; Petromyzontidae
Description: Pma-Mir-103-o2_pre stem-loop
Source: RNAcentral